GAAAAUCGUGAAUGGUAACACCAGGGUGAACAGCAUUAGUGCUGCCAGAGGACCCCUCUCAGGAGGGCUUUCAGUUCCCAGGAGAAUUGAGUCAACUCACAGGGGGAAGCUGGUGACAUAGGAGCCUCAGUAGAUGACUUCAGCCUUCCCAGCUUUGGAGCAUCCCAUCUGACCCUCUAGCAGAGACUGGCACAGAUCAGGAAGGGAGAACCAUGAAGACCCAGGAAUGUUUAACACAUUGUAGCCAGAAAAAGAAUGUCAAUGUUUCCUCCAUACAUCAUUGCUAAUAUAACUCUCCUUUUUAGUUUCCCUAGAAAAUUAACACAACUUUAUGAACAAACAGGUUAGCAUAGUACAUUUUUAUGUUUCUAAACUAGAACAGAAGAUUGCUCUCUUCCCUGCAUGACUUCUGAGAUCCCUAAGUGGUAUCUUUCUAAUGACAAGAAUGUUAUUGCAGGUGUGCAGAUGUCAGGCUAUGGGGGGCAAUAGAAGGGACAUAGCUACUUACAUUUGUUUCCUUUGUAACCAGGAGUGAAACUGUGUGGAGCUGUGGCUGCCCAGCAGGGUUCAUGGGCAUGAUGCCCAAGUAUACCAGUGACUUUGGUCUUCCUGCUCUCUGUGUUCCCUGCAGUGGACCUGCAGAGGGCCAGAGCCAGGCUCUGGGUGGAAGGACCCCAAAGGUGUCCUACCUGCAUGUUUCUUCCAUCUGCACUAUCACUGGAGAAAUCUGCUCAUAUCACUGUUAUUUUGAAAUUCACAAGCAGGGUUUAAUUUUGUGUGUGUCAUUUCCUAAUGAUACAUUCUGUUGUGCUACAUGCCAUCAGUUGUAUCUCACCUAGCUGCCCUUCUCUAACUCACCAAGUGACCUUGAACAAUUCUUUCUCAGGCACUGAGCAUGUGUCAGGUAUGUGUGAAGACACAUUUUAAUCAUGUUAGCUGUGAAAUCUUCAUGACAGACCUCAUCCAUUGUCUGCAUGUUACAAGUUGGGGAAAAACUCAGACAGGAAGAAGUGGCCACACAGCUAUGAAAAAAGUGGCAGAGCUGGGAUCAACCCCAGCAAAGAGAUGAUAUUAAAGGAUGGCAAAGAGAGGAUAUUACAAAUACUUGAU
RNAcentral lists this long non-coding RNA (1110 nucleotides) under Marmota monax (woodchuck). The record is from RNAcentral. Lineage: Eukaryota; Metazoa; Chordata; Mammalia; Rodentia; Sciuridae.